UGGGAUGUAGCUCAGUGGUAGAGAGCUUGCCUAGCAUGCAUAAGGCCCUGGGUUAGAACCCAGCAAUGCAA
This 71-nucleotide transfer RNA is filed under the name Ictidomys tridecemlineatus (thirteen-lined ground squirrel). RNAcentral's name for it is "Spermophilus tridecemlineatus (thirteen-lined ground squirrel) tRNA". It matches the Rfam family "tRNA". From Rfam's summary of the family: Transfer RNA (tRNA) molecules are approximately 80 nucleotides in length. Their secondary structure includes four short double-helical elements and three loops (D, anti-codon, and T loops). Further hydrogen bonds mediate the characteristic L-shaped molecular structure. tRNAs have two regions of fundamental functional importance: the anti-codon, which is responsible for specific mRNA codon recognition, and the 3' end, to which the tRNAs corresponding amino acid is attached (by aminoacyl-tRNA synthetases). tRNAs cope with the degeneracy of the genetic code in two manners: having more than one tRNA (with a specific anti-codon) for a particular amino acid; and 'wobble' base-pairing, i.e. permitting non-standard base-pairing at the 3rd anti-codon position. Lineage: Eukaryota; Metazoa; Chordata; Mammalia; Rodentia; Sciuridae. The record is from Rfam by way of RNAcentral. RNAcentral also lists the same sequence under 1 other name.